AAAAAGAUAAGCUAAUUAAGCUAAUAGGUUCAUACCCUCUUUAUGAGAGUAAUACCCUCUCUCUUUUUA
This 69-nucleotide transfer RNA is filed under the name Agriocnemis femina. RNAcentral describes it as "tRNA-Met". Lineage: Eukaryota; Metazoa; Arthropoda; Insecta; Odonata; Coenagrionidae. The record is from RNAcentral.